AUGGAUAUCUCUGAUGUUAAGCAUCUUAUCCAGCAGGAGGAAGAGGUUACUGACAUGCCUAUUCAGUACAAUGUGGCCACUGAUCCUUAUAAUGCUGACAUUGAAGUGGGGGCUCUUUUUCCUGACAUUGUAACCUUUAGAAAAGCAAUAAGACAUCAUGCUGUGGUAAAAGACUUUGAGCUAGCUAAAGUAAGGACUGAUUCUACUAGAUUCAUGGCUAAUUGCUCAUAUCCUAGUUGCCCUUGGCGCAUUCACGCAUCGAGGUUGCGUGAUCAACAAGUUGUCAUGAUAAAGAAGAUUCCCUUUGAGCACAAUUGCCCUACUACAAAGCUUGUAGACAGCAGAAUGGCAACACAAGGUUGGGUUGCAGAGAAGCUUGUUGAUUGGGUGAAGAAAAACCCAGGAGAGGGAGCAAAGGCAGCGAAAACUAAGUUGGAGGGUGAUUUCAACUUCAAGCUGAAGUAUUCCAAAGCUUGGGCAGGUAUGAAGAUAGCUCUGGAACAAAUGCAUGGUAAAUAUGAGGAUAGUUUUCAAUUGUUGUUCAAUUGGAAAGCAGAGAUAGAGAAGAGAUGCCCUGGUAGUAUUGUUGAGAUUGAUUUGGUCAAGGAAAAAGGUAAGUACUAUUUCAAUAGAGUCUUUGUAGCUUUCAAACCCUGCAUAGAUGGUUUCUUAGCUGGAUGUCGACCAUACAUAGGAGUAGAUGCAACUGCACUGAAUGGGAAAUAUGUUGGUCAAUUAGCAUCAGCGACCGGAGUUGAUGGACACAACUGGUUGUAG
This 777-nucleotide ribosomal RNA is filed under the name Triticum aestivum (bread wheat). Its description in RNAcentral is "partial small subunit ribosomal RNA". The record is from RNAcentral. Lineage: Eukaryota; Viridiplantae; Streptophyta; Magnoliopsida; Poales; Poaceae.